Non-coding RNA from Amborella trichopoda, 547 nucleotides. The record is from RefSeq and is a predicted model, not a curated record. Lineage: Eukaryota; Viridiplantae; Streptophyta; Magnoliopsida; Amborellales; Amborellaceae.
UGCGAGUUUCUAAACACCCCUCCAAAACCAGCUUGUCGAAGUGAACUUCUAUCAAAAUUUAAUUUAAUAGGCUCAUACGGAGGUGAAAGCUACCCGAACACUCUCUCUCUCCACAAAUAUGCAUUAAAGUCUCUCUCUAUGCAAAGACCCUAGACGACAUAUAAGCUAGCUGUGGCCACCCAUCCUUUAUCUCUCUGUCCCAAUCACUUCUCUCUCUCUCUUCAUUGACUCUUGUGGAAAAAAGGGUUUUGUUUGAAGAAUGAAAUACUUUGGUUCGGGAAGAACUAACUUCAUGGAAUGGCUAAGAGUUGAUGACCAUAUGUGUUAAUGGUUUUGAAUAUAUAUUCUUCAAUGGCCAAUUUGUGAAUCAGAGCUCUAAGAUACUCCUGAUUAAUUUGGAGAUUGAAGCCAUGGGUUCACGAAACCAGGGUUUGCUGCUUUGGGCAAAUCGACUCAUACGCACCAAAGUUAGUUAGGCACGACAAGGGGCCAAGCCCGUAAGUCCCUCAAUUCGGGAGGAAAUAAAAUUUAUUCACUGUUUAUCUGA